UGGGUAGAUAGGUGGGUUGUGGGAUGGAUGGGUGGAGAAAUGGAUCUAUGUAUCUCUAAGUCAAUCAACUGAAUGCCUUCUGUUGCAAGGUAACCAUGAGUCUGCC
RNAcentral lists this long non-coding RNA (106 nucleotides) under Fukomys damarensis (Damara mole-rat). RNAcentral describes it as "lncRNA (ENSFDAG00000033390.1)". The record is from RNAcentral. Lineage: Eukaryota; Metazoa; Chordata; Mammalia; Rodentia; Bathyergidae.